GCAUAUCAAUAAGCGGAGGAAAAGAAACCAACAGGGAUUGCCCUAGUAACGGCGAGUGAAGCGGCAACAGCUCAAAUUUGAAAUCUGGCUCUUUCAGGGUCCGAGUUGUAAUUUGCAGAGGGCGCUUUGGCGUUGGCAGCGGUCCAAGUUCCUUGGAACAGGACGUCACAGAGGGUGAGAAUCCCGUACGUGGUCGCUGGCCUUCGCCGUGUAAAGCCCCUUCGACGAGUCGAGUUGUUUGGGAAUGCAGCUCUAAAUGGGAGGUAAAUUUCUUCUAAAGCUAAAUACUGGCCAGAGACCGAUAGCGCACAAGUAGAGUGAUCGAAAGAUGAAAAGCACUUUGGAAAGAGAGUCAAAUAGCACGUGAAAUUGUUGAAAGGGAAGCGCUUGCAGCCAGACUUGCCUGUAGUUGCUCAUCCGGGCUUUUGCCCGGUGCACUCUUCUAUAGGCAGGCCAGCAUCAGUUUGGGCGGUUGGAUAAAGGUCUCUGUCAUGUACCUCCUUUCGGGGAGGCCUUAUAGGGGAGACGACAUGCAACCAGCCUGGACUGAGGUCCGCGCAUUUGCUAGGAUGCUGGCGUAAUGGCUGUAAGCGGCCCGUCUUGAAACACGGACCAAGGAGUCUAACAUCUAUGCGAGUGUUUGGGUGUCAAGCCCGAACGCGUAAUGAAAGUGAACGGAGGUGGGAACCCUUUAGGGCGCACCAUCGACCGAUCCUGAUGUCUUCGGAUGGAUUUGAGUAAGAGCAUGGCUGUUGGGACCCGAAAGAUGGUGAACUAUGCUUGAAUAGGGUGAAGCCAGAGGAAACUCUGGUGGAGGCUCGCAGCGGUUCUGACGUGCAAAUCGAUCGUCAAAUUUGGGGCAUAGGGGCGAAAGACUAAUCGAACUAUCUAGUAGCUGGUUCCUGCCGA
RNAcentral lists this ribosomal RNA (909 nucleotides) under Subplenodomus violicola. RNAcentral's name for it is "LSU rRNA". It matches the Rfam family "Eukaryotic large subunit ribosomal RNA", at positions 38 to 964 of the family's 3401-position model. The record is from RNAcentral. Lineage: Eukaryota; Fungi; Ascomycota; Dothideomycetes; Pleosporales; Leptosphaeriaceae.